Long non-coding RNA from Mus musculus (house mouse), 523 nucleotides. RefSeq annotates it as predicted gene, 41053. The record is from RefSeq and is a predicted model, not a curated record. The transcript is spliced from 3 exons. NCBI's taxonomy places the organism in Eukaryota, Metazoa, Chordata, Mammalia, Rodentia, Muridae.
UGAACUGCGCAGUUCUCUGGCAUGCCCGUGGCUCAUCAGUGGCAUGCUUUCCUGAGUCAACAUUGACCCACAGCCUGGCUCAGGGAGGGCCGCUUCAGCCCUGUCCAAGAGGCCAUCGUUUUAGAUGAAACCUCAAGCCAGCAGUCCUGUUCUGCUGGUGUCAUCCUGCUUGGCUUUUCGUCUCCAAGGACAACAUGUGUGGUGGUCCUCAGCAUUGGCUUGGCCAUUCCUCCUGCUCGGGGUGUUCCUCUGUGCUCAGCUUCUCACCUCUCAUCCAGCUCUGGUCUCGUGUGCACUGGUGAAGACCUCAUGAGAAAGAAGCUACAAGGAACCAACAAUCUUUGUGGAGGUGGGAAAAUUGUCCCCAGAGUGUUGGCUGGGCAUGCACCCAAAUUUACCACCUCUGUUGUUGACUUCAAUGAGGCUUCUCCUACAGUAGCCCAGGGAAGCAGACGGAUGAAAGGAGAGGAGUGGCCCCAUCCAGUUCCCUGUGACUCCCUGCCUGGUCCCCUGGGCAUCCCAA